UAAUAAGUUGAAAUUAGACAAAUAGAGAAUAGAGAAAAAUCAAUCAAAACAAAAGCUUAUUCUUUGAUAUGUCAAUACAAUUGACAAACUAAUAUUGACUAAAGACGGUGAGAGUGACAAGAGAGACAGGUAAGAAAAAGAAAGACAAGAAUUACCAAUGCCACGAAUGAAAGGGGAGAUUAUUAUAGAUCCAGCAGACAUUGUAAGGAUAAUAAAGAACUAUAUAAACCACUCUGCAUGUAAAUUUGACAACUGAACAGAAAUACCAACUCCUUAAAAUCUAUGAACUAUCAAAACUCACCCAAGACGAAACAGAUAACUUGAAGUCAUAACCACUAAAGAAACUGAAUUAAUGGCUUAAAAAUUUUUGAUAAUUUUUGAUAAGGAAGUCUCUAGGGCCCAGAUUGUUUUACUGCUGAAUUGUGUGAAACAAAAUAAUAAAUAAGCAAUUUAAAACCACGUCUUCCAGAAAGUAGAAGAAAACAACUUAUAAGAAGGGUUUGGGGCUGGGGAUGUGGCUCAAGCGAUAGUGCGCUCACCUGGCAUGCGUGCGGCCCGGGUUUGAUCCUCAGCACCACAUACAAACAAAGAUGUU
This 595-nucleotide long non-coding RNA is filed under the name Marmota monax (woodchuck). Lineage: Eukaryota; Metazoa; Chordata; Mammalia; Rodentia; Sciuridae. The record is from RNAcentral.